AAGAUCCCAACAUGAAGUACAAACAUUUUCUUUUUAAAGAAUGAACGCAAAUGAACGAAAAUUACAUUUUCUUUAAAAAGAAUGUGAACUCACAUUUUCUUUUUAAAGAAUGAACGAAAAUUAUUCCAAUAAAAUAAUUGGUCUCAUGAUGAUAGUGAUCAUCCUUAAAGACACAACACGUAAAGGAGAAAAAGCAAACAACAACGAUCCAGCUUUCAUGAUCUGUCAUUACUUUUUAACAGAAAAGAAACAAGGAUCACUCAAACAUUGAUCCUUAACUGGCGCUUUUGGUUACCGAUUUUUAUGUUUUUGUGGUCUUCCCCCCUCCCCUUAAGAAACUGCUAAAAGCUCCCGAUGCACAUGUCCGAAGUUUAGCUCUCAGUAGGUCAAAGCUAAAUUAAAUAUUUCCCCGAGGAGACGGCAUGUUUUUAUAAGAAAAAUUUUUUUCAAGCCAGCAAGUUAAUUGCUCGAUCUUCUUCCUGCAUUCGUUAUACAUACACAUAAAUGGAUUUAUCAAUUGUACAGUUGCAUUACCAUUAUUAAAUCAUAUAUGUCAUGCUUUUGCAUCAUUAUUCUGCUUAACUAUAACAAAAUAUUCGUCUUCCAAUAUAAGAGUCAUCAAGUGGCAACACGGUGACACGUAAGCGUGGCCGGCCUUUAGGAAUACGGAAUAAAACUAAAGGUAUACACCUACUUUUUUUAUGGACUGAGCCGAGCAAUGUUAAAUUAUUAACCACAUAUUUGUCUAUAAUUUUUUUUUUUUUUGUAAAAGGCAUAUUUGUCAAUAAUUUUGUGCUUAAAAAUGAAAUAUAAUAACAAGAUGUUUUCGUACUACUUGGUCCUAUAAUUACCAUUCAAUUAAACUACUAACCUUUUUCUCGGACAGCUCGCCCAUCCAUGAGAUUUGAGCAACAAAAUUUCGCACCAAAAUUCUAUGACUGUGAGUCCUUAUCCAACUAUCUCUCACAAAAUUAAAAACUUAUAUAUAAAUAAAUAUAAAUAUAUACUCAUUAGUAAAUAUUAAUAUAUAUAUAUAUCUAUAUUUUAAAAAAAAAUUAAGAAAAAUAUAUUUCACCACUAUCUUUCGAUUCAUAUAUGUAUUAUUUAUUGUAAAGUUUAUACAUAUAUUUUAAUAAUUGUGAUUUUAAAAACAAUUGUUCGCUUCGUAGGUGGCUGCGAUAUAUGCGUGUUACACGGUAUAUAAAUUCCAAAUAUAAACAUUUUUAAUCUAUAUUCAAUAGUUACUGAUUAUUUAAACACAUUAUAAAUUUGAAUCAAUGUAGUCCAAAAAAAAUGCACGUGGAAUGAGAAGGGCAAUCUUGCUAUCAAAACAUAUUUCAAGAAGGAUAGAAGGCAAGCAUCAAACAGUGCAAUCUACCACUUCACAUUUAAAUCUAAUAAUUUAUUACUGUGAUCAACUAUAAAUAUUAAAAUUAGUGGUGUAUUAAUUUAUCUUGAAAUACACUGUUUGGACUACAUUGAUUUAUCUUGGAGGUUGGUGUAUUAAUUUAUUACUGUGAAAAAAUUAGUAAAUGUAAUAAUAUUAAAAUAUGAUACUCUUAGAAAUAAAAAAAAAAUAUUAGUUAUUUUUA
RNAcentral lists this long non-coding RNA (1592 nucleotides) under Brassica napus (rape). RNAcentral describes it as "long non-coding RNA (BNAP_LNC025588)". The record is from RNAcentral. Lineage: Eukaryota; Viridiplantae; Streptophyta; Magnoliopsida; Brassicales; Brassicaceae.